GACGAACGCUGGCUGCGUGCUUAACACAUGCAAGUCGAACGCUGAAGCCCCAGCUUGCUGGGGUGGAUGAGUGGCGAACGGGUGAGUAACACGUGAGUAACCUGCCCCUGACUUCGGGAUAAGCCCGGGAAACUGGGUCUAAUACCGGAUACGACUAUCGGACGCAUGUCUGGUGGUGGAAAGUUUUUUCGGUUGGGGAUGGGCUCGCGGCCUAUCAGUUUGUUGGUGAGGUAAUGGCUCACCAAGACGACGACGGGUAGCCGGCCUGAGAGGGCGACCGGGCACACGGGGACUGAGAAACGGCACAGACUCCUACGGGAGGCAGGAGUGGGGAAUAUUGCACAAUGGGGGAAACCCUGAUGCAGCGACGCAGCGUGCGGGAUGACGGCCUUCGGGUUGUAAACCGCUUUCAGCAGGGAAGAAGCCUUCGGGUGACGGUACCUGCAGAAGAAGUACCGGCUAACUACGUG
RNAcentral lists this ribosomal RNA (470 nucleotides) under uncultured bacterium. RNAcentral's name for it is "partial 16S ribosomal RNA". It matches the Rfam family "Bacterial small subunit ribosomal RNA", at positions 28 to 507 of the family's 1533-position model. The record is from RNAcentral.